CAGCAGCCGCGGUAAUACAGAGGGUGCGAGCGUUAAUCGGAUUUACUGGGCGUAAAGCGUGCGUAGGCGGCUUCUUAAGUCGGAUGUGAAAUCCCUGAUCUUAACUUAGGAAUUGCAUUCGAUACUGGGAAGCUAGAGUAUGGGAGAGGAUGGUAGAAUUCCAGGUGUAGCGGUGAAAUGCGUAGAGAUCUGGAGGAAUACCGAUGGCGAAGGCAUCCAUCUGGCCUAAUACUGACGCUGAGGUACGAAAGCAUGGGGAGCAAACAGGAUUAGAUACCCCUGUAGUCCCUGUCUCUUAUAC
Molecule: ribosomal RNA, 301 nt
Filed under: uncultured bacterium
Lineage: Bacteria
Description: partial 16S ribosomal RNA
Rfam family: Bacterial small subunit ribosomal RNA
Source: RNAcentral